RNAcentral lists this ribosomal RNA (407 nucleotides) under uncultured bacterium. RNAcentral describes it as "partial 16S ribosomal RNA". It matches the Rfam family "Bacterial small subunit ribosomal RNA", at positions 29 to 525 of the family's 1533-position model. The record is from RNAcentral.
AGUGAACGCUGGCGGCGUGCCUAAUACAUGCAAGUCGAACGAAGUGGCGCACGGGUGAGUAAUAUAUAGUUAAUCUGCCCUACACAGAGGAACAACAGUUGGAAACGACUGCUAAUACCUCAUAGUGUAGGAUGAGACUAUAUCGUAUCAGCUAGUUGGUAAGGUAAUGGCUUAGAAAGGCUAUGACGCGUAACUGGUCUGCGAGGAGGAUCAGUGACAGUGGAAGUGAGGCACGGUCGAAAAACCUAGGGGAGGGAGCAGUAAGGAAUAGUGCAAAAUUGGGGAAACCCUGAAGGAGAAAGGGCGGAAGGAGGAUGACACUUUUCGGAGCGUAAACUCCUUUGAUCAGGAAAGGGGUACCUGAUGAAUAAGCACCGGCUAAAACCGUGCAAGCAGCGGCGGUAAUA